This 300-nucleotide signal recognition particle RNA is filed under the name Bos grunniens (domestic yak). Its description in RNAcentral is "Metazoan signal recognition particle RNA (ENSBGRG00000022939.1)". It matches the Rfam family "Metazoan signal recognition particle RNA". Rfam says of the family: The signal recognition particle (SRP) is a universally conserved ribonucleoprotein. It is involved in the co-translational targeting of proteins to membranes. Lineage: Eukaryota; Metazoa; Chordata; Mammalia; Artiodactyla; Bovidae. The record is from Rfam by way of RNAcentral.
GCCAGGCACGGUGGCACGCGCCUGUAGUCCCAGCUACUCGGGAGGCUGAGACUGGAGGAUCGCUUGAGCUCAGGAGUUCUGGGCUGCAGUGCGCUAUGCCGAUCAGGUGCCUGCACUAAGUUCGGCAUCAAUAUGGUGACCUCCCGGGAGCGGGGGACCACCAGGUUGCCUAAGGAGGGGUGAACCGGCCCAGGUCAGAAACGGAGCAGGUCAAAACUCCUGUGCUGAUCAGUAGUGGGAUCGCGCCUGUGAAUAGCCACUGUACUCCAGCCUGGGCAACAUAGCGACACCCCAUCUCUU